RNAcentral lists this ribosomal RNA (402 nucleotides) under uncultured bacterium. RNAcentral describes it as "bacterial SSU rRNA". It matches the Rfam family "Bacterial small subunit ribosomal RNA", at positions 355 to 774 of the family's 1533-position model. The record is from RNAcentral.
UGGGGAAUCUUGCACAAUGGGGGCAACCCUGAUGCAGCGACGCCGCGUGAGCGAUGAAGCCCUUCGGGGCGUAAAGCUCUUUCGACCGGAACGAUAAUGACGGUACCGGGAGAAGAAGCUGCGGCUAACUACGUGCCAGCAGCCGCGGUAAUACGUAGGCAGCAAGCGUUGUUCGGAGUUACUGGGCGUAAAGAGUGCGUAGGCGGUUUUCUAAGUUCGGUGUGAAAUCUCCCGGCUUAACUGGGAGGGUGCGCCGAAGACUGGGAAGCUGGAGGGUGGGAAAGGCAGGCGGAAUUCCUGGUGUAGCGGCGAAAUGCGUAGAUAUCAGGAGGAACACCGGCGGUGUAGACGGCUUGCUAGACCAUAACUGACGCUGAGGCACGAAAGCGUGGGUAGCAAACA